RNAcentral lists this ribosomal RNA (487 nucleotides) under Callistoctopus minor (long arm octopus). RNAcentral describes it as "partial 16S ribosomal RNA". It matches the Rfam family "Bacterial large subunit ribosomal RNA", at positions 1852 to 2552 of the family's 2925-position model. The record is from RNAcentral. Lineage: Eukaryota; Metazoa; Mollusca; Cephalopoda; Octopoda; Octopodidae.
GUUGGGCCUGCUCGGUGAGAAGAAAAAUUUAACAGCUGCGGUAUUAUAACUGUACUAAGGUAGCAUAAUAAUUUGCCUUAUAAAUUAAGGCUAGAAUGAAUGGUUUGACGAAAAUUAGACUGUCUUUAUUUUAUUUGUUAGAAAUUAAUUUUUAUAGUGAAAAAGCUUGAAUAAUUUAAGGGGACGAGAAGACCCUAUUGAGCUUUAUUUAUUAAUAUUUAAAUAUAAAUAUAUAAUUUAUAUUAUGAAAAUUAUGUUGUAUAUAUAUAUAUAUGUAUAUUUAAUUGGAUUUAAUUUUGAUUGGGGUGAUCAAGGAAUAAAGAUAAAGUAACUUCCUUAAAAUUAAUGAUUGUUUUUAUGGAGUAAUAAACCAAGUUUUUUGCUUAUAAGAUAAGUUACCAUAGGGGUAACAGCGUAAUUUUUUUUGAGAGUUCAUAUUGAAAAAAGAGAUUGCGACCUCGAUGUUGGAUUAAAAAUUACCUUAAGG